ACACUCCUGCGGGAGGCAGCAGUGGGGAAUUUUGGACAAUGGGCGAAAGCCUGAUCCAGCAAUGCCGCGUGAGUGAAGAAGGCCUUCGGGUUGUAAAGCUCUUUUGUCAGGGAAGAAACGGUGAAAGCUAAUAUCUUUUGCUAAUGACGGUACCUGAAGAAUAAGCACCGGCUAACUACGUGCCAGCAGCCGCGGUAAUACGUAGGGUGCAAGCGUUAAUCGGAAUUACUGGGCGUAAAGCGUGCGCAGGCGGUUUUGUAAGUCUGAUGUGAAAUCCCCGGGCUCAACCUGGGAAUUGCAUUGGAGACUGCAAGGCUAGAAUCUGGCAGAGGGGGGUAGAAUUCCACGUGUAGCAGUGAAAUGCGUAGAUAUGUGGAGGAACACCGAUGGCGAAGGCAGCCCCCUGGGUCAAGAUUGACGCUCAUGCACGAAAGCGUGGGGAGCAAACAGGAUUAGAUACCCCGGUAGUCCCAUGA
This 476-nucleotide ribosomal RNA is filed under the name uncultured organism. Its description in RNAcentral is "partial 16S ribosomal RNA". It matches the Rfam family "Bacterial small subunit ribosomal RNA", at positions 333 to 800 of the family's 1533-position model. The record is from RNAcentral.